GACGAACGCUGGCGGCGUGCCUAAUACAUGCAAGUCGAACGCUGAAGAGAGGAGCUUGCUCUUCUUGGAUGAGUUGCGAACGGGUGAGUAACGCGUAGGUAACCUGCCUUGUAGCGGGGGAUAACUAUUGGAAACGAUAGCUAAUACCGCAUAACAAUGGAUGACACAUGUCAUUUAUUUGAAAGGGGCAAUUGCUCCACUACAAGAUGGACCUGCGUUGUAUUAGCUAGUAGGUGAGGUAAUGGCGCACCUAGGCGACGAUACAUAGCCGACCUGAGAGGGUGAUCGGCCACACUGGGACUGAGACACGGCCCAGACUCCUACGGGAGGCAGCAGUAGGGAAUCGUCGGCAAUGGGGGCAACCCUGACCGAGCAACGCCGCGUGAGUGAAGAAGGUUUUCGGAUCGUAAAGCUCUGUUGUAAGUCAAGAACGGGUGUGAGAGUGGAAAGUUCACACUGUGACGGUAGCUUACCAGAAAGGGACGGCUAACUACGUG
Molecule: ribosomal RNA, 497 nt
Filed under: uncultured bacterium
Lineage: Bacteria
Description: partial 16S ribosomal RNA
Rfam family: Bacterial small subunit ribosomal RNA
Source: RNAcentral